UGGCUAUACUGCAGUCGAACGCUUCUUUUUCCCCGGAGCUUGCUCCACCGGAAAAAGAGGAGUGGCGAACGGGUGAGUAACACGUGGGUAACCUGCCCAUCAGAAGGGGAUAACACUUGGAAACAGGUGCUAAUACCGUAUAACAAUCAAAACCGCAUGGUUUUGAUUUGAAAGGCGCUUUCGGGUGUCGCUGAUGGAUGGACCCGCGGUGCAUUAGCUAGUUGGUGAGGUAACGGCUCACCAAGGCCACGAUGCAUAGCCGACCUGAGAGGGUGAUCGGCCACAUUGGGACUGAGACACGGCCCAAACUCCUACGGGAGGCAGCAGUAGGGAAUCUUCGGCAAUGGACGAAAGUCUGACCGAGCAACGCCGCGUGAGUGAAGAAGGUUUUCGGAUCGUAAAACUCUGUUGUUAGAGAAGAACAAGGAUGAGAGUAACUGUUCAUCCCUUGACGGUAUCUAACCAGAAAGCCACGGCUAACUACGUGCCAGCAGCCGCGGUAAUACGUAGGUGGCAAGCGUUGUCCGGAUUUAUUGGGCGUAAAGCGAGCGCAGGCGGUUUCUUAAGUCUGAUGUGAAAGCCCCCGGCUCAACCGGGGAGGGUCAUUGGAAACUGGGAGACUUGAGUGCAGAAGAGGAGAGUGGAAUUCCAUGUGUAGCGGUGAAAUGCGUAGAUAUAUGGAGGAACACCAGUGGCGAAGGCGGCUCUCUGGUCUGUAACUGACGCUGAGGCUCGAAAGCGUGGGGAGCAAACAGGAUUAGAUACCCUGGUAGUCCACGCCGUAAACGAUGAGUGCUAAGUGUUGGAGGGUUUCCGCCCUUCAGUGCUGCAGCUAACGCAUUAAGCACUCCGCCUGGGGAGUACGACCGCAAGGUUGAAACUCAAAGGAAUUGACGGGGGCCCGCACAAGCGGUGGAGCAUGUGGUUUAAUUCGAAGCAACGCGAAGACCUUACCAGUCUUGACAUCCUUUGACCACUCUAGAGAUAGAGCUUCCCCUUC
Molecule: ribosomal RNA, 1000 nt
Filed under: Enterococcus faecalis subsp. liquefaciens
Lineage: Bacteria; Bacillati; Bacillota; Bacilli; Lactobacillales; Enterococcaceae
Description: bacterial SSU rRNA
Rfam family: Bacterial small subunit ribosomal RNA
Source: RNAcentral